RNAcentral lists this ribosomal RNA (1589 nucleotides) under Niphargus ictus. RNAcentral describes it as "eukaryotic LSU rRNA". The stretch from base 1142 to 1589 matches the Rfam family "Eukaryotic large subunit ribosomal RNA", at positions 1 to 398 of the family's 3401-position model. The record is from RNAcentral. Lineage: Eukaryota; Metazoa; Arthropoda; Malacostraca; Amphipoda; Niphargidae.
GGUUUCCGUAGGUGAACCUGCGGAAGGAUCAUUAACGAUUGCUACUCACGCAAAAGACAAAACGACGUAUGGUUAACGCCAAGAAACUCCUGACGAGUUCAGGAAGGAUGAUUCCUUUCUCGCUCUAGAGAAGGAAGUGCCAUCGUGGUCGUGGUGCGUCUGCACUGCGAACGAUGUAAAACAAACACCCUGUGGCCCCUCAUAUAGUAUAAUAUCGCUCGCCAUGGUAUACAGGCCUGGCAUCUGGUACGAGUCUCUCGCAGUCUCAAAACCAACCUUACAACUCUGAGCGGUGGAUCACUUGGCUUGUGGAUGCUAUGAAGACCAUAGCUAAGUGUGAGAAUGGCAGCGAGCCGUCGCUAUAUGCGCUGUCCUCUUCUUAUCACAUGUCGAAUGCACAUUGCGCCCCACCCAGUGGUCGGCUAACCUCCUGCAGACAAAAGCCUGUGCGUUUGGGACAAAGGCGGUGUGUGGCCCUCGAGCAACGGCGGGGGAGCCAGGAGCACAUUUGCGUGCGGACCAACCACUCGUUAGUAGUCAGGCUGAACCCUAUGGUGGGGCACUCCUAGUGGAGUGUGGUGGAUCGGACUCUUGUCUCUUAUUGUGCUUUUUUGCACGUGGGAGUUUGAGUUACUUUGUUGCUGGAGGCUAUUUGGGUCGACAUCAGUCGUGCCCGUAAACAACUGCCUUGGCUCGUGCCUCUGUGCGUUCAUCUCACGUGGGUGCGCAUAUUGAAAGGCCAUAGCUGGCGAUCAAUCUUGCGACCAGGGCACUACAUUUGCCAUGUAAAUGGCGGUAGUGCGCAGAGGUCCAAAAGGGAAUGGUAACACGAGAGUCGGGUCUCUGGUGCUCUGUCAAGCUCAUGCACAGUAAAUGCUGCUUGGGUUUCGAGGAGUCUGCGUUAUAAGCACUUCUGGUAAAGGUUCGUUUUUCGUACUAUUCGAGAUUAAUACGAUCCUCACUUCUUUCUUGUUCACACGCACAUGCGUACAGACUGGCAAACAAAGAAACGCCUGACGAGUUCAGGAGAGUGUGAACGAAAAGUAACAGAAUUGCAAGCAGCUUCCAGCCUAUGAAAGGUUGUAGCCGUGUUGCUGGCUUGGAAUGAGAGAGACCCGCCUACUCGUGUCUGUAAGCUCCACCACCUCGACUUAGGAGAGGUUACCCGCUGAACUUAAGCAUAUCAGUAAGCGGAGGAAAAGAAACCAAUCAGGGAUUCCCUUAGUAGGGGCGACCGAAACGGGAUGAGCCCAGCGCAGAACCUCCCGGGCCACCCGGCCUGCGGCGGAAUGUUGCGUUAAGGGAAAGGUCGUAGUCAAACCCCACAGCCACGCGAGCACUAAGUAAGCCACGAAUUGGCUAUCCCAACUAACGGCGGGAAAAUCUCCACGGAGGGUGUAAGACCCGUUUGGGCGCGUGUAAAUGCUGUGUGGGCUCGGCCUCUUUUCCCUGAGAGUCGCGUUGCUUGAGCAUGCAGCGCUAAGCAGGUCGUAAACUCGAUCUAAGGCUAAAUAUGUCCACAAGACCGAUAGCGAACAAGUACCGUGAGGGAAAGUUGAAAAGCACUCUGAAGAGAGAGUCAAAAGACC